AUCCCUCGCUGCUAAGCUAUCCCUCGCUGCUAAGCUAUCCCUCGCUGCUAAGCUAUCACUGCUAAUCUAUCUAUUGCUGCAAGCUAUCCCUCGCUGCUAAGCUAUCGCUGCCAACCUAUCUAUUGCUGCAAGCUAUCCCUCGCUGCUAAGCUAUCGCUGCCAACCUAUCUAUCACUGCCAACCUAUCUAUCGCUGCCAAUUUAUCUACCACUGCCAAUCUAUCUAUUGCUGCUAAUCUAUCGCUGCUGUCAAUCUAUCUAUCACUGCUAAUCUAUCUAUCGCUGCUAAUCUAUCGCCGCUGCCAAUCUAUCCCUCACUGCUAAGCUAUCCCUCGCUGCUAAGCUAUCACAGCCAAUCUAUCGCUGCUAAUCUAUCGCUGCCAACCUAUCUACCGCGGCGAAUCUAUCUAUCGCUGCCAAUUUAUCUACCACUGCCAAUCUAUCUAUCGCUGCCAAUCUAUUGCUGCUAAUCUAUCGCUGCUAAUCUAUCGCUGCUGCCAAUCUAUCUUUCGCUGCUAAUCUAUCGCCGCUGCCAAUCUAUCCCUCGCUGCUAAGCUAUCCCUCGCUGCUAAGCUAUCCCUCACUGCUAAGCUAUCUCUCGCUGCUAAGCUAUCCCUCACUGCUAAGCUAUCCCUCACUGCUAAGCUAUCCCUCACUACUAAGCUAUCUAUCACUGCUAAUCUAUCGCUGCCAACCUAUCUAUCACUGCCAAUCUAUCUAUCGCUGCUAAUCUAUCGCUGCUAAUCUAUCGCUGCUAAUCUAUCGCUGCUAAUCUAUCGCUGCCAACCUAUCUACCGCGGCGAAUCUAUCUAUCACUAUCAUUACUAGUUCAAAAUAGAACUAGAGCAUAAAUACACUAAACUUCUUUUGAUAGAUAAUGAUUUUUGGUAACACUCAUAGCAUUAUAUCAUCUAUAUAGGGUAAAUCAUGGUCCCAUUUGGUCCCAUUUUAACAAAAUGGGACCAAAUGGGACCAGAAUCAGUAAUUUAUAAGAAGAACAUGACCUGGGACUAGAUUUAUAAUAUAAACAGUGUAAAGUGACUAAUUUAAUAAACACUAUAUGAGACCAG
Molecule: small RNA, 1069 nt
Filed under: Histoplasma ohiense
Lineage: Eukaryota; Fungi; Ascomycota; Eurotiomycetes; Onygenales; Ajellomycetaceae
Description: hypothetical lncRNA
Source: RNAcentral